AAAAAGUCGUCGUCAUUUAAGGCAACUAUCUGAGAAAGUUGUCCUCGAAGUGUUGAGCUUCUUCAGGUCUACAGAGAUUAAAAACAUGAGAUGAAUCUGGGAAUAACACCUGAGGAUUCCAACUAUAUUCAAUACUGCCUGCUGCUUCAUUCAGCUGUGGACCUCCGAUGUGUGCUGCUGAUGAUUGGGAAUGUAGUGCCCCAUGAGGAAGACUGAAGGCUGUGGAGUACAGAGUCUGGAACUGUUCUGACAGCCUUCUGGCCUUUCCUUGGCUUGGGUUAUAAUCCCCAUGUGAUAAAGUGUCCUGUUGGCUUUAGCUGGUGCCUCUUCAAUAGCCAGACACAUCUGAGGACUGUGGAUCUUCCUGUUCUGCACCCAGACUAGCCCAGCGCUAGAGCUCCCUCCUUCAUAGCUAUCGUCCUCAGGAGCUCUCAUCUGGAUUUAAUCUUGAUAUGGAACACUGUAAUACAAGAGAUUGACAGGAAUGAAUUGUGAUGGCUUAACUAAGAUAGAAGGUAGAAAGAAAACCAAUGAAAGUACAUUUUUAUAAGCAAGCAGUACAGAAAACUGUAAUGAAUGAGAGGUAAAAGCAAGGGAAGUGGAGCAAAUGGUUCAGAAAGACAGCAGAGUUGUGAAUAAAGACCACUGUAAUAUGCAAAUCUUCCAGGCAAGCAGAAAAAGAAUUAGAACGGCUUAUCUUGCUGUGAAAUGAAAAGACCUUUUCCAAGUCAACAUCCGGAAGUUUCUGACAAUGAGAAGAGGUGUUAACAGCUGCCAUGAAAGGGCUUCUGAACUUGGUAUUAGUAUGAAGCUUAUUUCUUCAUCAGCCAUGUAAAUAAUUUGCUACAUUAAUAAAAAAUAUAUUUGUUUUCCCAGGAAAGAGCAGACUACAUCCACAUUGUAUUUUGCUCCAGUAAUGGAGAGGGGGGGAAAAAAAAGAAAAAAAAAAAGCAAAACUAAAACAGAACAAGAAAUUCUAGAGCAGAAUACUAAUAUGUUCAAAUAGUGCCUUGGGCUGUAAGAAUUACUCCUGAAGUGGACAUUUGUUUUUCACUCACAGUGUUUGACAUUAACUUUUGACUUCUGCUUCUAUCAAGGCAAAAUAUUAUCGUAGCCUUAAGCCAUAGUGUAACCUAUCUCUGUGCUCUAUAGUUGGAAUUUUCAUUAAAAAGAUAUAUUUUGACAUUCUAGAGUGAGUGUGCCCAUAAGGAAUGAGAUUUUUCAAGCAUAAAUUAUAGGUACUUCAGCUCACAAAGAUGGAGCAUACUGCAGCUUCUUCAGGGAACUUCACACAACUCUCUGAAGCUCUCUGCUUCAGAGAAUAUCCCAGGAUAUUCUUAAUAAUUUCCUUGAAAAAUGUGGGGACAUUUAACCAAGUUAAAUGUCUCUGAAGUUGAAUUAUUUUAUUUGCCAUUAUCCUAAAUAAAGAAUGUAAAUUUGGUAUGAAAAAGACACAAGCAUCUGACAUCAGGAGGUAAAAUAUCUUUAUACUGUAUUAAUGUUUCUUUCCCUGUGUUUUUUCUUUCUGUGUUUUAAUUAGAGAGCUCCAUGUCAUUCCACUUUGCUCAGUUAGACAUUAAGCCCUGAAACAGACAAACUAUGAAUGAAAUCUUAAAUGUUUUCUGGUUUUUGUCCAUGACUGUACCUCUAGUAUGUAUGUGGCUUCCUCUUUUCUCCCGUUAUCAUUUUAAUGGUCCUCCUUGGACUCCAAAUCCCCCAAACAACUGAUUAAAAAUGGUAAGGAACAGAUCCCAUUGAUGGAAACUUUGUCGUCUUUUGGGUGCAAGUACAUGCACACAAGGAAAGAAUUAAAACAACAGCUUACAUCCUACUAGUGGUAAGUGAAUGAUUGUCUUCUUACUACUCUAAAGGAUGAUAGUACAAUGCCUCUGUAAAAGUCUGUGCAUUCUGUGAAAACAGACUGUAAUUAAAGCCUUGAGUCAUAUUAGUUUGUUGCCUAUAGCAAGAAGGUAAUUGUGCUGCUGGGUUACUACUUCUUAAAAGACAGAAAAAAACCUCUAUGGUUUGGCUUGAAGACUCUCAAUUCCUGAGCAAAAGGCAGCAUAUACUCUUUUAUUACCUCACUGAUUAAUGAAAUUCAAUAUGACGAAUGCCAUACUGUGGUGACAAUGCAGCCUCUAUAUUCAUGAAAUGUCACUUUUUUUCAAGUGACAGCUCCAGAUCAGAACUUGUGCUUUGUGUUUUUUAGAUAGUUUAGCCAAAGUGGCUUUUAUGGGGGGAGAGACUGUUUUGAUUAAACAGAAGCCAGAUAUGAAAUUAAAGAAAGAGUUCAGAGGUUGCUGUUAUGUUUUGGCAAAGAUAUUUCUUCAUUUUUUAGCUUUG
Non-coding RNA from Meleagris gallopavo (turkey), 2343 nucleotides. The record is from RefSeq and is a predicted model, not a curated record. Lineage: Eukaryota; Metazoa; Chordata; Aves; Galliformes; Phasianidae.